Molecule: ribosomal RNA, 481 nt
Filed under: uncultured bacterium
Lineage: Bacteria
Description: SSU rRNA
Rfam family: Bacterial small subunit ribosomal RNA
Source: RNAcentral
AGGAUAAACGCUGGCGGCGUGCCUAAUGCAUGCAAGUCGAACGGACAUUCUCGCAAGAGGGUGUUAGUGGCAAACGGGUGAGUAACACGUGGGGAUCUGCCCAGUAGUGGGGAACAACUCCGAGAAAUCGGAGCUAAUACCGCAUACGGUCUGUGUCGAAGGACACGAGACUAAAGCCUACGCAAGUGGGCGCUAUUGGAGGAACCUGCGGCUGAUUAGCUAGUUGGUGGGUAAAGGCCUACCAAGGCGAUGAUCAGUAGCUGGUCUGAGAGGAUGGACAGCCACACUGGGACUGAGAUACGGCCCAGACUCCUACGGGAGGCAGCAGCAAGGAAUUUUCGUCAAUGGGGGAAACCCUGAACGAGCAACGCCGCGUGGGCGAAGAAGUCUUUCGGGAUGUAAAGCCCUUUUCCCUGUGAAGAAAGAAAGACGGUAACAGGGGAAUAAGCAUCGGCUAACUACGUGCCAGCAGCCGCGGUAA